GUCAAAGUGAAGAAAUUCAACCAAGCGCGGGUAAACGGCGGGAGUAACUAUGACUCUCUUAAUCUAGCCAAAUGAAUCGUCAUCUAAUUAGUGACGCGCAUGAAUGGAUUAAUGAGAUUUCCACUGUCCCUAUCUACUAUCCUGAGAAACCACAACCAAGGGAAUGGGCUUGGCAGAAUCAGCAGGGAAAGAAGACCCUAAUGAGCUUGACUCUAGUCCGACUUUGUGAAAUGACUUGAGAGGUGUAGUAUAAGUGGGAGCCGAAAGGCGAAAGUGAAAUACCACUACUUUUAACGUUAUUUUGCUUAUUCCGUGAAUUGGAAGCGGGGCACUACCCCUCUUUUUGGACCCAAGGCUUGCUUGCAGGCCGAUCCGGGCGAAAGACAUUAUCUGGUGGGGAGUUUGGCUGGGGCGGCACAUUUGUUAAAAGAUAACGCAGGUGUCCUAAAAUGAGCUCAAUGAGAACAAAAAUCUCGUGUGGAACAGAAGGGUAAAAGCUCGUUUGAUUCUGAUUUUCAGUACGAAUACGAACCGUGAAAGUGUGGCCUAACAAUCUAUUAGACCUUCGAAAUUCGAAGCUAGAGGUGUCAGAAAAGUUACCACAGGGAUAACUGGCUUGUGGCAGCCAAGCAUUCAUAGCGAUGUUGCUUUUUGAUCCUUCGAUGUCGGCUCUUCCUAUCAUUGUGAAGUAGAAUUCACCAAGUGUUGGAUUGUUCACCCACCAAUAGGGAACAUGAGCUAGGUUUAGACCGUCGUGAGACAGGUUAAUUUUACCCUACUGAUGAUAGUGCCACAAUAGUAAUUCAACCUAGUACGAGAGGAACCGUUGAUUCGCACAAUUGGUCAUCACGCUUGGUUGAAAAGCCAGUGGUGCGAAGCUACCGUGCACUGGAUUAUGACUUAACGCCUCUAAGUUAGAAUCCAGGCUAGAAGCUACGCAUGCGCCCGCUGUCUGCUUGCCGACCCGCAGUAGGGGCCUUUGGCCGCCAAGGGCACAUGUCGUUGGCUAAGUCAUCACGGCGGAAGAGCCGCGGUGUCCGCCUUGAAGUACAAUUUCCAUUAAGUGGCAGGUAGAAUCCUUUGCAGAUGACUUAAAUACGCGAUGAGAUUUGUAAGUGGCAGAGUGGCCUUGCUUCCACGAUCUACUGAGAUUCAGCCCUUUGUCGCUCCGAUUCGUCCCUGUCCCUCCA
RNAcentral lists this ribosomal RNA (1190 nucleotides) under Nicotiana tabacum (common tobacco). Its description in RNAcentral is "eukaryotic LSU rRNA". It matches the Rfam family "Eukaryotic large subunit ribosomal RNA", at positions 2216 to 3401 of the family's 3401-position model. The record is from RNAcentral. Lineage: Eukaryota; Viridiplantae; Streptophyta; Magnoliopsida; Solanales; Solanaceae.